UUGCUUCAUAUUGUUGAGAGCGUAGACCCGCUACAGUCCUGUCGUGCCCACCCAGUCUCAUCACCGGUCUGACGGACAGACAGAGAGAGGGACAGCGAGCUAGCGACAAAGGGCUGGCCGACCAUGGAGCUCAUCUGCCGGUUGCAGCUAGCAAGCAGGAAGUGUGUCCUUCCGCAAUAGAUGCCACCAUGGAGCUGAGAUAACAUCUUCCUCUUUUCUUCACCAAUCACGGCUCUGGAGCAAGAAUAACUAUGGGAACAUGGCGUGGUCUCCGGGUUGCGUUCAUCCUUGGGUCUUUGUUUAUGAUCCUGCUGAUCAUCGUGUACUGGGACGACGUCGGGGGCUUCAACCUCUACCCGCUGCAGGAGCACAAACACCAGUCGCUGCACUCUAAUUCUCACCCUCAGACGACAACUCGGCCCUCAUACCCUACGUCCACCGGCAGAGCCCAGACCAAUUCUUCCUCCGCCACCCCCACUACUGCUACCCCAGAGGAGACAAGGGGGUCAGCUGAGGAGCAAAUAGAGGAGGAGGGGAAGGAAAAACAAGAACAGAGGAAGGAGGAAACAAGGGAGGAUGAGAAGGUGGAGAGGAGUCAUGCUGCUGUGGAUGAUAGAGAACAGGAGGCGAGGAAGCAGAGGAUCAUGGAUGUGUGUUCAGGAAUGGACGCUGUGGAAUUCCCCGGGAGGACUCGGGCGUUUGAGCAGAUCCCAAACAGGGAACUGGACCACCUGAUAGUGGAUGACACUCACCAGAUUAUCUACUGCUAUGUUCCCAAGGUGGCGUGCACCAACUGGAAGAGAGUGAUGGUGGUUCUGUCUCAGUCUCUGAUCUCGCCCUCCUCAGGAAAACCUUACACUGACCCAGAGGCUGUACCUCCUGACCUCGUGCACAACUCCUCUCUACACCUCACUUUUGCCAAGUUUUGGCGUCAUUAUGGUUCUCUGUCCCGCCACCUGAUGGCACUCAAGCUCAAGCACUACACCAAGUUUCUGUUUGUACGAGACCCUUUUGUUCGCCUUAUCUCGGCUUUCAGGAACAAGUUCGGAAGGCCCAACGAGGACUUCUACAAGCAGUUUGGUUCUGUCAUGCUGCGUCGUUAUAGUAAUGUGUCUGGCAGUUUGCCAGAGACAGCGGCUGAGGCGUUUGCAGCAGGAAUCAAACCGACGUUUCAGCAGUUUAUCACAUACCUGCUGGAUCCAGAGACCGAGAGGGAGAGUAUCUUCAAUGAACACUGGCGGCAGGUAUUUGUCUCACACGGCACUGUAAGAUGAAUGGUUUUUGUGAGAUCACUAGAUGCAUACUAUCCCCUUCUGUUGGUCAUAUGCCACUUCUACAUCUGUUUUUUAAAGACCAUACCAGUAUAAUAUCCACUUAUUGUCAUUACCUAAGAUUCAUUGUCAUUCACUGUCAUUCACACUUUGUGUGUGUCCCAUCUGUAUACUAUAUACAACAGUACUUCUCUGGAGUAUACUUCUAUUUGUGUACUAAUGUUGACAUUGCACUAUUUGGGCAGUUAAUAUACAAUAAGUUAAUGUAUCAUUUUGUUUUAAUGAGAAAAGAUAUAGGGAUGACUUUGGAACAUGACAACAUUUCAAUUUGAAUAUUUGACAAAAAGACAGUAACAUUUCAUUUCUACUGAUCUAUUUCUUAAUUUGUUUUGUCAGCUGUUGGAGCCAUUGCCUUUCUUUUUUUUUCUGGUUGUGAGCAGUUCUUUUAUUUUUUCUGUGUUGUGUUGUUGCAUCCAUCAAUUCCACAUUAAAAAAAUCAAACCAUUGGAGUCUUCAUGCUGGGAUGUUUUAGCAUACAAAUGUGUACCGUCUGUGCCAUCCAUGCCAGGUGAAGUAUGACUUCAUUGGACGACUAGAAACCCUGGAUACAGACGCAGAGCAC
Molecule: RNA transcript, 1893 nt
Organism: Sander lucioperca (pikeperch)
Lineage: Eukaryota; Metazoa; Chordata; Actinopteri; Perciformes; Percidae
Gene name: carbohydrate sulfotransferase 12
Exons: 7
Source: RefSeq, a predicted model, not a curated record